Molecule: unclassified non-coding RNA, 329 nt
Filed under: soil metagenome
Description: partial contains 5.8S ribosomal RNA, internal transcribed spacer 2, and large subunit ribosomal RNA
Rfam family: 5.8S ribosomal RNA (bases 1-120)
Source: RNAcentral
GAUGAAUAACGUAGCGAAAUGCGAUAAGUAGUGUGAAUUGCAGAAUUCAGUGAAUCAUCGAAUCUUUGAACGCACAUUGCGCCCCUUGGUAUCCCGAGGGGCAUGCCUGUUCGAGCGUCAUUUCACCACUCAAGCCUGGCUUGGUGUUGGGCGACGUCCCCUUUGGGGACGCGCCUCGAAACGCUCGGCGGCGUGGCACCGGCUUUAAGCGUAGCAGAAUCUUUCGCUUUGGAAGUCGGGGCCCCGUCUGCCGGAAGACCUACUCGCAAGGUUGACCUCGGAUCAGGCAGGGAUACCCGCUGAACUUAAGCAUAUCAAUAAGCGGAGGA